CGAAUACGUAUGAAAUUAUACCGUGCCGAUCCGCGAACGCGGCGACCGAAUUAAAUACAAUUCGCACCGUGUUGGCCCCGCCGCGGCGACCGUAUUUUCGCGGGGCAGUACGUUGUAUAUUAUUGGGGUUUUUGUUAUUUUCUUUUUUCUUUCUACUCUACUCCGUUUCCUCCGCAGACGCUCGUGUAAUGAUUUCCCCCCCCCCACCGCCCCGAUUACCCGACCGUUCUUUACCCGUAUGGCACGUUGAAACGCGUACUAUAUAUAUAUACGUAUUAUUUAAAAGUGGAGGAAAAAAAAGAAAAUAAAAAUAAAAAACCACAUUUUGUUCGUAUAUUAUAAACUAUAAGAAAAUAUUAUAUUAUACAUAAACAUAUAUAAAUAUAUAAAUAUAUAUACAUACCUAUUUUGUAAAGAGGGCCUAAUGUCUGAUCUCUGUACAGCGUAAAUGUUUUUUUUUUUUUUUUCUCUCUCUCUCCGUCUUGAUAUUUUUAUUUUCUACGGCGCGUAAUAUUAUUAUUAUUAUUAUUAUUACGGUGUGCACCUCGCCCUGACCGAACAAACCCAUAUAAUAUAUAUAAAUGUGCCGUAAAUAUGUACGCGCACGUGAACUUGUUUUUUUUUUUUCCCCCCUUAAAUUUUGUUUGUUUUUUAUUAUUAUUAUUCUAGAUUUCUAAUUUUAUUUUUUAGACUAUUACCUAUUAUUAUUAUUAUUAUUAUAAUAUUAUAUUACCUAUAUAUAUAUAUAUAUAUACUGAUAAGUAAUAUUGUAACCCCGCGCGCACGUUUGCGUGCGACGAAAAAGUUUAAAUUUAUUAUUAUUAUUAUUAUUAUUAUUAUUAUUAUUAUUAUUAUCAUAUAACUAUUUAAGAAAAAAAAAUAAAAUAAUAUCCGUUUCGAAGAGUGAAAAUAAACGUUUCAGUUUACC
Molecule: non-coding RNA, 928 nt
Organism: Cinara cedri
Lineage: Eukaryota; Metazoa; Arthropoda; Insecta; Hemiptera; Aphididae
Source: the annotation of a GenBank genome assembly